GGCCUUGUAAGGAACAACUGGUUUUUCCUCCCCGUGCUCCAGAGAAGUGGUUUAUGAGACAAACAGAGAAUUUGCACCUCCUGUGGGGCUGGAAAACCUCACUCCCUUCAGUUCUGUGAAUAAUCCGUUUGCUGACAGUGUUUGAUGACCCUGUUUGCCUGCAGCUGGCUGUGCUCUCGGUGCUGGAAGGUUUUCCCUGGGAAUUAGAUAUCACUGAGAUAUACAAGUGCUGCUCCAACCAGUCCUGCCUCUGACAAAGGAACAGGAAUCCGAUCCCUCUCCCCACGACGAUGGAGCGAAGGCAUUUGUGUGAUCUCAUCUAUCAGGAGAGCGCUGACGUCGUCUCUCAGCUGCCCCAAAUUAAAACAAUCCAUUUUUGUGCCUGUGAAUCCUCACCCACCGUGCCAGGGAGGGCAGCUGGGGAGGAAGAACGUCCAGGGCCCUGAAUGGGAUGUUCGGAGAGAGCCAUGGUUAAAACUGCAGCGAGUUGUGUUCCUCUCGUAGCUGGGACAUGGUGGCACCUUUAAAAGGAAUUAUUUUUCACUGUCUUUGUCUGGAAUGCAACCACUAAGGAACAUGCUAAAGACGUCUCUGAUUUUCUGUCAGGAUCAGGAUCUUCACAGAAUUCAGUGUAAGUUUCAGAGAGAACAUUCGGAAGGAAAGGAAAUCCUUCAAGGAGAAGUGGAAGAGGAUGAAAGCUGCUGGGUCCUGCUUCCCCUUUCCACAUCCAGAGGUGUCCUUGCUCAGGGACCUGCAGGGGACAAACCCCAGGCAGCUGGGAAGGCUGAGCUCCACCUGCACGACAGACAAUGCCAGGCUGUGUGCAAACAUCAAUAUUUUCUAUAGAAACAGAAAUUUUGAAGGGAAGUCUAAGAACAUGUGGGGACAAAGGCUUGAAAGAUGUCUCAGUGGAAACUCAGCUCAUCCCAAGGCUGAGGAACAAGCACAGAACGUGAAGAACGAGGUUCCAGGAUAUGGAGGAAAAUGUGUUUGUUUUCAACAAAAAUCUUGAUUUAGAAGAGGUGACAAUUCCCUAGAGUUUAUACAAAUAUCAGCAAGGGGUUUUGUUUUAAAUUACAAGGACAUUUUGGCAUCAUCUCGGCAGAAAUGCAAAUGAUUCCAUCAUGAACGAGCAGCCUUGUUUGCCAGCAAAGAGGAGUCUGGAGGAGCUCCGUGUCCCCCUGAACUCCAGGAGUGGUGCCACAGAGUUCUGUGAUUUUAUUGCAGGAACGAUAAACUGCAGGACUCAUCUCGAUGGGAAUGUGCCGGUUCUGUGGCUGCAUUCCCUGCUCUCUCCAUCCCAGGCACCGCUCUGCUUUAUGCCCACCUUCUAUAGGAGCAGUAAAAAUUCCCAAAGCGCUGGUGGUGGGAGCAGGAGCAGCCUGGGGUCAGUCCCUGUCCCUGG
This is a long non-coding RNA of Cyanistes caeruleus (blue tit), 1405 nucleotides long. RefSeq lists it as uncharacterized. The record is from RefSeq and is a predicted model, not a curated record. NCBI's taxonomy places the organism in Eukaryota, Metazoa, Chordata, Aves, Passeriformes, Paridae.